This 253-nucleotide ribosomal RNA is filed under the name uncultured bacterium. Its description in RNAcentral is "partial 16S ribosomal RNA". It matches the Rfam family "Bacterial small subunit ribosomal RNA", at positions 524 to 776 of the family's 1533-position model. The record is from RNAcentral.
UACGGAGGGUGCAAGCGUUAAUCGGAAUUACUGGGCGUAAGGCGCACGCAGGUGGCUGAGUCAGUCGAUUGUGAAAGCCCUGGGCUUAACCUGGGAAUUGCAGUCGAUACUACUCGGCUCGAGUAUGGGAGAGGGCAGUGGAAUUCCCGGUGUAGCGGUGAAAUGCGUAGAUAUCGGGAGGAACAUCAGUGGCGAAGGCGGCUGCCUGGCCCAAUACUGACACUCAGGUGCGACAGCGUGGGGAGCAAACAGG